This 502-nucleotide ribosomal RNA is filed under the name uncultured bacterium. RNAcentral's name for it is "bacterial SSU rRNA". It matches the Rfam family "Bacterial small subunit ribosomal RNA", at positions 9 to 526 of the family's 1533-position model. The record is from RNAcentral.
GAGUUUGAUCCUGGCUCAGGACGAACGCUGGCGGCGUGCUUAACACAUGCAAGUCGAGCGAUGAAGCUUCCUUCGGGAAGUGGAUUAGCGGCGGACGGGUGAGUAACACGUGGGCAACCUGCCUCAAAGAGGGGAAUAGCCCUCCGAAAGGAGGAUUAAUACCGCAUAAAGUUAGAGUUUCGCAUGAAACUUUAACCAAAGGAGUAAUCCGCUUUGAGAUGGGCCCGCGUCCCAUUAGCUAGUUGGUAGGGUAAUGGCUUACCAAGGCAACGAUGGGUAGCCGACCUGAGAGGGUGAUCGGCCACAUUGGAACUGAGACACGGUCCAGACUCCUACGGGAGGCAGCAGUGGGGAAUAUUGCGCAAUGGGGGAAACCCUGACGCAGCAACGCCGCGUGGGUGAUGAAGGUUUUCGGAUCGUAAAACCCUGUUUUCUGGGACGAUAAUGAUGGUACCAGAUGAGGAAGCCACGGCUAACUACAUGCCAGCAGCCGCGGUAAUAC